This 2003-nucleotide ribosomal RNA is filed under the name Neocarpia sp. 2 YL-2022a. RNAcentral describes it as "partial large subunit ribosomal RNA". It matches the Rfam family "Eukaryotic large subunit ribosomal RNA", at positions 1288 to 2806 of the family's 3401-position model. The record is from RNAcentral. Lineage: Eukaryota; Metazoa; Arthropoda; Insecta; Hemiptera; Cixiidae.
UNUCACCUGCCGAAGCAACCAGCCCUGAAAAUGGAUGGCGCCUGAGCGUCGUGCCCAUACCGGACCGUCAAAGGUACAGUGGGCGUCCGCCUUCGGGCGAGAGCCGUUAAGCCUUGACGAGUAGGAGGGUCGCGGCGGUGUGCGUAGAAGGGUCUGGGCGUGAGCCCGCCUGGAGCCGCCGUCGGCGCAGAUCUUGGUGGUAGUAGCAAUUACUCUAGCGAGGACCUUGAGGGCUGACGUGGAGAAGGGUUUCUUGUGAACAGCUGUUGGACAAGAGUAAGUCGGCCCUAAGCUCUAGGAAAAUUCCGACGUCGAUGUGGCGGAUAUCAACGAGGUUCUGACCGUUACGCGUCGUGGUCUCGAUUGGCGGCGGUACUCGGACGACGAGUUGUGUUCGGCCUGCGCGUCGAUACUCGUCCGAGCCGUGUGGUGAGCUUCUGCGGGCCACGAGCAGCGGACGGCGGAACGUUGACGACUGCCCUCGGCGUGCGAAAGGGAAUCAGGUUCAUAUUCCUGAACCCGGCAGCGGAACCGCCCUUGGCGGGCACUCGCCCGCGAGCGCUCGACGGGGUAACCCAAACCAGCCGGGAGAAGCCGGCGGGGGGUCUGGAAAGAGUUGUCUUUUCUUUCUAAGCGUUCGGGUGCCCUGGAAUCCUAUAACAGGGAGAUAGGGUAUGGAGCGCGAAGAGCACCGCAAUUGCGGCGGUGUCCGGACUUCCCCCCCGGACCUUGAAAAUCCUGGUAUGGGGCUACGCGGAUGUCGCGCCGGAGCGUACCCAUNAUCCGCAUCUGGUCUCCAAGGUCAAAAAGCCUCUUGUCGGUAGAAUAAUGUAGGUAAGGGAAGUCGGCAAAUUGGAUCCGUAACUUCGGAACAAGGAUUGGCUCUGAGGGCCGGGGCGUGUCGGGCUUGGUCGGGAAGCGGGUAUGCGUCGACGUGCCGGGCCUGUGCGAGGAAGAAGCUGGCGUGUACGGUAGUGUCCGUCCGCCUUCUAGAUUUCAGCUCGGUCCUGGCCUCGACCUCUCGCGGAUCUUCCUUGCUGCGGGUGGUCGGCUGCUCUGGUCGCGACGCGGCCUCUCUUGCGGGAGGCCCUCGUGGACGGGCCGUACUCCCCUUCGGCCGCCGCCAAACGGCCAACUCAGAACUGGCACGGACCAGGGGAAUCCGACUGUCUAAUUAAAGCAAAGCAUUGCGAUGGUUCUUGCUGAGUGUUUACGCAAUGUGAUUUCUGCCCAGUGCUCUGAAUGUCAACGUGAAGAAAUUCAAGCAAGCGCGGGUAAACGGCGGGAGUAACUAUGACUCUCUUAAGGUAGCCAAAUGCCUCGNUCAUCCAAUUAGUGACGCGCAUGAAUGGAUUAACGAGAUUCUCUCUGUCCCUACCUACUAUCUAGCGAAACCACANGCCAAGGGAACGGGCUUGGAAGAAUUAGCGGGGAAAGAAGACCCUGUUGAGCUUGACUCUAGUCUGGCACUGUAAGGNAGACAUGAGAGGUGUAGCAUAAGUGGGAGACAGCCGGUCGCGAGACUGGACUUUCGGCGGUGAAAUACCACUACUUUCAUAGUUUCAUUACUUACUCGGGAGGGCGGAAAGAGGAGCCGUCCAAGGGUACUAACCCGGACGGUCCUGCCUUCUCGCGCCAAGCAUCUGAGGGCUGUCGGCACGCUUCCGUAUGGCGGAGGCUUUGGUAAGGCAGAGUGGCCUGUGUCGCCCAGGGGCGACCGGCCGCCGAGCCCGUCGCGCUCCUCCGUCGACGGCCGCGGCUGACCGGCAAACGCUCCCUCGCGUGAUCCGAUCCGAGGACACUGCCAGGCGGGGAGUUUGACUGGGGCGGUACAUCUGUCAAACGAUAACGCAGGUGUCCUAAGGCCAGCUCAGCGAGGACAGAAACCUCGCGUGGAGCAAAAGGGCAAAUGCUGGCUUGAUCCCGAUGUUCAGUACGCAUAGGGACUGCGAAAGCAAGGCCUGUCGAUCCUUUUGGCUUGAAGAGAUUUCAGCAAGAGGUGU